GUAUAUCGGGCAUAAUGGAUUUAGCGGGGCGAAUUCGCCUUGUGCCAGCAGCCGCGCUAAUACGGCAGGGGCAGGCGUUAUCCGGAUUCCCUGGUUUAAAGGGCGCGUAGGCGUGAGGUAAGUCUGUGGUGAAAUCUCAGAGCUUAACUCUGAAACUGCCAUUGAUACUAUUUAUCUUGAAUAUUGUGGAGGUAAGCGGAAUAUGUCAUGUAGCGCUGAAAUGCUUAGAUAUGACAUAGAACACCCAUUGCGAAGGGAGCUUACUACGCAUAUAUUGACGCUGAGGCACGAAGGCGAGUGGAUCAAACAGGAUUAGAUACCCUGGUAGUCCACGCCCUAAACGAUGGAUACUCGACAUACGCAAUACUCCGUGUGUGUCUGAGCGAAAGCAUUAAGUAUCCCACCUGAGAAGUACGACCGCAAGUUGGAAAACUCAAAGGAAUUGGCGGGGGGCCGCACAAGCGGUGGGAGCAUGUGGUUUUAUUUCGCUGAUACGCGAGGAACCUUACCUGGGCUAGAAUGCUGGGAGAUUGUAGGUGAAAGCUUACUUUGUAGCAAUACACUGCCAGUAAGGUGCUGGCAUGGCUGUCGGCAGUCGUCCGGAGUGGUUGGGUAAAGUCCCGCAACGAGCGCAACCCCUAUCUUUAGAUGCCACAGGAAUGCUGGGGACUCUAAAGAAACUGCCGCGGAGACGUGAGGAAGGAGGGGAUAUAUCAGUCUCCUGUCUUUAUGCCCAGGCUACACACGUGCUACAUGGGAGGACAAGGGCUGCACCCAGCGAUGGAGGCUAUUCCGAAACCUCUUCUCAAGUCAGAAUCGAGUCUGCACUCUGACUACGUGAGCUGGGAUCGCUAGUAUCGGAAUCAGCAUGAUCGCGAAUCCGGUUCCGGACUUGACUUCCACG
RNAcentral lists this ribosomal RNA (904 nucleotides) under uncultured bacterium. Its description in RNAcentral is "bacterial SSU rRNA". It matches the Rfam family "Bacterial small subunit ribosomal RNA", at positions 454 to 1389 of the family's 1533-position model. The record is from RNAcentral.